This 801-nucleotide ribosomal RNA is filed under the name Convolutidae sp. Favts2M-17. RNAcentral describes it as "SSU rRNA". It matches the Rfam family "Eukaryotic small subunit ribosomal RNA", at positions 403 to 1202 of the family's 1831-position model. Lineage: Eukaryota; Metazoa; Xenacoelomorpha; Acoela; Convolutidae. The record is from RNAcentral.
ACGGCUACCACAUCCAAGGAAGGCAGCAGGCACGCAAAUUACCCACUCUCCGCACGAGGAGGUAGUGACGAGAAAUAAUGAUAUGAACCUUAAUGGUUUGUAAUCAGAAUGGAAAGGAUGCAAAAGCUCCUUUGAUGAACGAGUAGAGGGCAAGUCUGGUGCCAGCAGCCGCGGUAAUACCAGCCUCUACAAGCGUAUGCAAAAGUUGCUGCGUUUAAAAAGCUCAUAGUUGGAUCUGUUUGGGCGUAACGAUAACAUGGUGUUCAGUUAAAUCGGUUCACUCGUUAUUCCCAUCCUCCGCAUCGAAGAAACUGGUUGGCCUUAAAUGGCACGACCAGUGGACACGGCGUUUAUACUCUGAAUAAAUUAGAGUGUUCAAAGCAUCCUUUGGGAUUGAAUAAUAAAGCAUGGAAUAAAGGAGAAUGACCCGCGUAUAGUUUGAUGCCGGUGGCUUAUAUGCGGUAAUGAUUGAAAGGAACAGCCGGGGGCAUUUGUAUUGCUACGUUAGAGGUGAAAUUCUUGGAUCGUGGCAAGACAAACUACUGCGAAAGCAUUUGCCAAGAAUGUUUUCAUUAAUCAAGAACGAAAGUCAGAGUAUUGAAGAGGAUUAGAUACCCUCGUAAUUCUGACCAUAAACUAUACCAACUUACGAUUUGUCAAAGUCCAAUAUGACUUGACAAGAAAUUAACCGGGAAGCCAAAGUUUAUUGGUUCCGGGGGAAGUAUGGUUGCAAAAUUGAAACUUAAAGGAAUUGACGGAAGGGCACCACCAGGAGUGGAGCCUGCGGCUUAAUUUGACUCA